Molecule: long non-coding RNA, 3348 nt
Organism: Varanus komodoensis (Komodo dragon)
Lineage: Eukaryota; Metazoa; Chordata; Lepidosauria; Squamata; Varanidae
Exons: 3
Source: RefSeq, a predicted model, not a curated record
GUCGCUCCUCCUUGCGAGAAGGGAAACGCCUUUCGGGUGGCCCCCACUCGCCGGCGGCAACAACUUUCUGCUCUGACGGACGGGGGGAGCGCGGUGCAAAGGCUGAAAGGGCUGUUCCCAGGCUUCGACAAAAGAUGCUGUAAAGGGGUAUAAAGCGGCUGCGUGUGCUCCGAGUGAUUAACUUCAGGAUCUGAAAAAUGGCUGGACCUAAUUGCAAACCUCCGAGCUAGCCUUGCGAGACGCCUUGAAGGUAUCAUGCCAGUACAUCGAGUGAGCAGGAAGAGGCAGCCACCACAAAGAGAUGAAGAGAAAUGUUCAGAGAAAUUCUGCAGUGGACUUUUUCUGACUGUAAGGAAAAAGAAAGCUCCAGCUGCAAUCCAGUACCAAGUGGAGAAGCUGCUUCCAUUGCUGAGAAAGAAGCAGUCAGUGAGCAUCACACAGUUGUGGUGAAAGCAAAGCUGCAACUCCUGACUGACUGACUGACAGAAUCAAUGACUGACAGGAUCAAUGGCCCUUCAAAAGACAAAGGUUUCCUAUCCUUCACCAGAGUGAGAGAUGCAGGGUGACUUUGGGCCAUUCCAAAAAGACCGAGGUAUGUCAAGGGUAGAGUUUUCCCAAGAUACCCUUGAGAGGUCCUGUUCAAGGUGCUAUCAGAACAAUCCAGACUUUUCCCCUCCUAAUAUGAUGACGAACUCCCAACUGCCUCAGGGAUAGACACGUAAACAUUUAAUAGCUCAGUAAGGAAACAUAAAAUAUUCAAAAGUCGUUCCACAACUGAGCAGCCCAUAAUGUGGCAGCAAUUUUUUUAAAGGCUGUUCAGAGGCAAUAAAUUUUCAGGAUGUGAAAAUCAAUCAGCACUUCAUCAUGUCACCCUUCAACAUUAUGGCAACUUUCCCUUCCAGACCAGCACUAAAUCUAAAUGAAUUACAGAGGGAAUUUCACACUGGCACAGUAUAAUUACCUGAGCGGGCCUCUUGCCAAGAAAGGAGGCCCAUCAUUCAGGGGAAAGUGCCAUCAUCCCUGUUGGGCUUCCAGAUCUGUUUUGUGUGCAGCCCCCACCCCAAAGUCUCAGCAGCCCACUGACACCCAAGUAUCAGUGACCCAGGCCUUGCUUCGGGGCAUCCAGAGCUGCCCCUUGUGAGAGGCAGGGCAGGAUCUGUCCCCUCUCUUGGGUGGUGUGCGUGUGGUGGGUGGGAGAGGAAGUCACAAUCGCCAUGUGCAAAGCAAACUUUGUGUGAUACAAACAGACUGGAGACAUCUUUCAUCAGAAGGAAGACAUGCUGUAUUCCAUUCAGAUUUAUUUCCAAGUAACUGUGUAUACAACUACAGCCUUUCUCUGCUUCGGCCAUUCUUUGCUGCUCUCUAUCUUUCUUGUCAGUCUCUACAUUCUCUUUGCAAAGGGACAAGAGAUUAUAAAGGCAGUGCCCCCUGACACCCAGCUGUGUAUUCCUUCUUCUGCUGAAGUCAGUGGCAUAGCUCCUGGUGAUACUAACGCAGAAUUAUUUGUGAAUCAACGUUAGAGGCUAUGUAAGACACUGCAAACACCAGUCAACUAACUGAUCCAUUCAUUUGGAAUGCAUAAUUAUUUUGGCUCAUUUAAAAUCGGCUUUAUUUAAAAGCCUGCUUGGAAAUUCCCUUGUUAAAAGUUUCUGAUCCGUAAGGGCAGUAAGGCAAGCUUGAAAGUGUUUAUUAAAAACCUGGAAGCUAAAAGGACUUUAUGGUGCUUCCAAAUUUAGAUUAUGCUAGCGGUCAACCUCUGCAGAGGCACCCUUUGACCAUGUGUGCUAUGUCCUCCCUUGGACCAGGGUCAGGAGAAACCCAUCCUUCCUGUUGGAAAUAAAAAGUGCUGUGCGUAGCACUGAUUGGUCAGGAACUGAUAUGGUCCCGGACUCAAGUCCCGCCUUCUCUCCUCUGAACAAAGCGAGGACGGAUUUCAGCAGAGGUCCAGGGCAUGCAGAAGAAGGGGUCUUAGAGAACAGUGGGAUUCUUCUACUUGCUCUCUGCCCCUGCCCCGUGUCCUUCCCACUGGAGACAGGCAUGGAAGCCAUCCUGAGACCUGAUAUAAUAGGAUGGCAUACAAAAGCUUUUAAUAAAUAAGAUAAAUAAGCAAGCAUCAUUAUCUGAACCAAGGCACAGGAGGGAGAAAUGCGUCUCCACCUGGGCCAUGCUUGGGCCAGCCACUCUCCCCGCCCAAACACCGGGGGAAAGAGCUCCAGCUGGCACUCAGGUUGAGGGCUGAACAGCAUCACAGGAAGGGCCCCAGCCACCUGUGUCCAGGAUGGACAUCACCUUCGCAUCAGUCAGCCCACAUUGGCCUGGUGGAGGGUCCAACCCCAAAUAGGGCAUCCCCUCUCUAACACUGCUGUUUUUUUUAAGAGAGGAAAACUAUACAUGAAAGCCCUUUAAAAAAAUGAAAAAAUAGAGUGUGUAUUCGAAGCAUGCUGAGGUCUAGUAAGACUACUAAACUGGUGCAGAAUCCAUUGCCUGAUGGGUUGUGAAGAGGGCAGGGAAAUUGGCUCAAGCAGCAGAAGAAUAAUGCAGUGGUUUUUGAUUUACUCAUCUAUCUACAUGCAGCCUUAGUCUCUGCUGGUGUCUCUUGCAGAUUUUUCAAGAAAAAGUUGUCUCCUGUGCUGUUGUUACUGUUUUCUCGGAUCAAAAAAUCACUGAUGUUUUUGCUAACACCCUGAACAUUCAUGCUUAGUUCCUUCCUGUGUUCAGUUUGUGCUUGCUUCCAAACUUUUGCAAAAUGAUUCUGUGUUUUGUUUUGUUUGCAAAUCUGGCAAUUCUGUCAAAGGCAGGACAUUGUCUGAAUCUUUAUCUGCUUCCAUAGCACAAAUGACCAUUUAUGUAGCCUUUUGCAGAAUUAUUCUAACAGUUCUGGGUACAGUUCAAAUUAGAAUAUUCCAUUCUGCUUUGCUUUGCAACUAGCUUGAUCCGGACCCCGGUUUGUGUGCCAACAGGCUUUUCUUUUUCUCAAUCCGCUUAGUUUCAUGGGUGGGGCUGGGUCUGAGCCCACUUACAGCUAGGGAAGAAGGAAUAAAGCUUCCCUCCUUACAUACUGUGAUCAAAGAGCAAUUCCUCAUCCGAUAUCCUACUUCCUAUAUAUUUCUUUAUACUUAUGAUAAGAUAAUUUUAAAACUGCGAAGAAAGAUGGAAAGCUGCCAAAGAGCUUGUGUGAGAAAUCUUAGAAAACAAAGCCUCUGCAUGCUGCCCAUUUGCAAGAACAAAGCCAAUAACUAUCUAUGGGGAGAAGUAUAUGCAUAUGCAUGGUCUUCCAAAUAUCAGAUUGAUUUUCUCUUCCUGUUUGCCAUGCUUCUCUGCCUGCUUCAUUAUUCCUGUUUCCCAUUU